This is a long non-coding RNA of Alligator mississippiensis (American alligator), 419 nucleotides long. RefSeq lists it as uncharacterized. The transcript is spliced from 2 exons. The record is from RefSeq and is a predicted model, not a curated record. NCBI's taxonomy places the organism in Eukaryota, Metazoa, Chordata, Crocodylia, Alligatoridae.
CAGCCAGAUAAAGGCCCGGCUGAUUCCCCAUGCUGGCGUCUUCGGCGUGCAUGGCUCCCCCGGCUCUUCCGGUCCUGCAGAAGUGGGAUCAGAAUUUUACUCAGAAUGGAAAGAAACAAGAAGCAGAGGUAAGAAGUGAAAGUGUGAAGAAGAUGGAAAGAACAAUGUAACCUAGAAGCAAAGCGAUGGACUUAGAAAGAAGCAUCAACAUACUCUGCAUCUCUGUAGUCCAGCUGUCAGAGUAAACAAGCCCUCUUCUAACCAUGUGCUCAAUGGUAUUAUAAGCAGAGCUGGUAGCAUGAUAGUUAAGAUUAUCUGACAUUUUCCAUUAUAUGACCCUGUUUUCAAUUGCUCUUUUCAACCCGGUUGAAAUUAUUGCAAACUUUUUUUUUUUUAAAUAAAGAUUAACCUAAAAUGGU